RNAcentral lists this ribosomal RNA (485 nucleotides) under uncultured bacterium. Its description in RNAcentral is "bacterial SSU rRNA". It matches the Rfam family "Bacterial small subunit ribosomal RNA", at positions 1 to 507 of the family's 1533-position model. The record is from RNAcentral.
CAGUAGUCACGAGUUUGAUCCUGGCUCAGAUUGAACGCUGGCGGAAUGCUUUACACAUGCAAGUCGAACGGUAGAGGGGGCAACCCCUUGAGAGUGGCGAACGGGUGAGUAAUAUAUCGGAACGUGCCCAGUCGUGGGGGAUAACGUAGCGAAAGUUACGCUAAUACCGCAUACGAUCUAAGGAUGAAAGCGGGGGAUCGCAAGACCUCGCGUGAUUGGAGCGGCCGAUAUCAGAUUAGGUAGUUGGUGGGGUAAAGGCUCACCAAGCCAACGAUCUGUAGCUGGUCUGAGAGGACGACCAGCCACACUGGAACUGAGACACGGUCCAGACUCCUACGGGAGGCAGCAGUGGGGGAAUAUUGGACAAUGGGCGAAAGCCUGAUCCAGCAAUGCCGCGUGAGUGAUGAAGGCCUUCGGGUUGUAAAGCUCUUUUACUCGGGACGAUAAUGACGGUACCGAGAGAAUAAGCCCCGGCUAACUCCGUG